UACGUAGGGUCCAAGCGUUAUCCGGAAUUACUGGGCGUAAAGAGUUCGUAGGCGGAUUUUUAAGUCGGAUGUUAAAUAUGCAGGCUCAACUUGUAUGCUGCAUCCGAUACUGGAAGUCUUGAGAGUGGAAGAGGUAAGCGGAAUUUCCGGUGGAGCGGUUAAAUGCGUAGAUAUCGGAAGGAACACCAAUGGCGAAGGCAGCUUACUGGGCCAUUUCUGACGCUGAGGAACGAAAGCGUGGGGAGCGAUCGGG
RNAcentral lists this ribosomal RNA (253 nucleotides) under uncultured bacterium. RNAcentral describes it as "partial 16S ribosomal RNA". It matches the Rfam family "Bacterial small subunit ribosomal RNA", at positions 524 to 776 of the family's 1533-position model. The record is from RNAcentral.